This 511-nucleotide ribosomal RNA is filed under the name Moechotypa diphysis. Its description in RNAcentral is "partial 16S ribosomal RNA". It matches the Rfam family "Bacterial large subunit ribosomal RNA", at positions 1809 to 2596 of the family's 2925-position model. The record is from RNAcentral. Lineage: Eukaryota; Metazoa; Arthropoda; Insecta; Coleoptera; Cerambycidae.
AAAAACAUGGCCUUUUGUUAAAAAUUUAAGGUCUAGCCUGCUCGCUGAGGAGUUAAAGGGCCGCGGUAUUUUGACCGUGCUAAGGUAGCAUAAUCAUUAGUUUCUUAAUUAGAAGCUGGAAUGAAUGGUUGGAUGAAAAAAUUACUGUUUCAAAUUAAUUGAUAUUUAAUUUUAUCUUUAAGUAAAAAAGCUUAAAUUUUUUUAAAAGACGAGAAGACCCUAUAGAGUUUUAUAAAAUAGAUAUAAUUAAAAUUUUUAGAAAUAUUAAAUUUAAUUUUAAAUUUUAUUUGAUUGGGGUGAUUAAAAAAUUUAAUAAACUUUUUUUUAUUAUAACAUUAAUAUAUGAUUUUUUGAUCCAUUAUUUAUGAUUAAAAGAUUAAAUUACCUUAGGGAUAACAGCGUUAUUUUAUUGGAGAGUUCAAAUCGAUAAUAAAGUUUGCGACCUCGAUGUUGGAUUAAAAUUAAUUUUUGGUGAAGAAGCUAAAAAUAUUAGGUCUGUCGACCCUAAUUU